This 446-nucleotide ribosomal RNA is filed under the name Klebsiella pneumoniae. RNAcentral describes it as "bacterial SSU rRNA". It matches the Rfam family "Bacterial small subunit ribosomal RNA", at positions 769 to 1216 of the family's 1533-position model. The record is from RNAcentral. Lineage: Bacteria; Pseudomonadati; Pseudomonadota; Gammaproteobacteria; Enterobacterales; Enterobacteriaceae.
CAAACAGGAUUAGAUACCCUGGUAGUCCACGCCGUAAACGAUGUCGAUUUGGAGGUUGUGCCCUUGAGGCGUGGCUUCCGGAGCUAACGCGUUAAAUCGACCGCCUGGGGAGUACGGCCGCAAGGUUAAAACUCAAAUGAAUUGACGGGGGCCCGCACAAGCGGUGGAGCAUGUGGUUUAAUUCGAUGCAACGCGAAGAACCUUACCUGGUCUUGACAUCCACAGAACUUAGCAGAGAUGCUUUGGUGCCUUCGGGAACUGUGAGACAGGUGCUGCAUGGCUGUCGUCAGCUCGUGUUGUGAAAUGUUGGGUUAAGUCCCGCAACGAGCGCAACCCUUAUCCUUUGUUGCCAGCGGUCCGGCCGGGAACUCAAAGGAGACUGCCAGUGAUAAACUGGAGGAAGGUGGGGAUGACGUCAAGUCAUCAUGGCCCUUACGACCAGGCUA